This 614-nucleotide ribosomal RNA is filed under the name uncultured bacterium. RNAcentral describes it as "bacterial SSU rRNA". It matches the Rfam family "Bacterial small subunit ribosomal RNA", at positions 59 to 698 of the family's 1533-position model. The record is from RNAcentral.
AAGUCGAACGGGCCCGCAAGGGUCAGUGGCGCACGGGUGCGUAACACGUGAAGAACGUAGCCAUCGGCGGGGGAUAGCCGGCCCAACGGCCGGGUAAUACCGCGUACGACCUUCGGGUGGCAUCACCUGGGGGUGAAAGCAGCAAUGCACCGAUGGGGCGCUUCGCGGCCUAUCAGCUAGUUGGUGAGGUCACGGCUCACCAAGGCUACGACGGGUAGCUGGUCCGAGAGGAUGACCAGCCACAUUGGGACUGAGACACGGCCCAGACUCCUACGGGAGGCAGCAGUGGGGAAUAUUGCGCAAUGGGGGCAACCCUGACGCAGCGACGCCGCGUGUGGGAUGACGGUCUUCGGAUUGUAAACCACUGUCGCGAGGGACGAAAAUCUGACGGUACCUCGAAAGGAAGCACCGGCUAACUCUGUGCCAGCAGCCGCGGUAAUACAGAGGGUGCGAGCGUUGUCCGGAAUCACUGGGCGUAAAGGGCGCGUAGGCGGCUUGGUAAGUAGGGGGUGAAAUCUCAUGGCUCAACUGUGAGGCUGCCUUCUAGACUGCUAGGCUCGAGCACAGUAGAGGCGAGUGGAAUUCGCGGUGUAGCGGUGGAAUGCGUAGAGAUC